UGUCUCUUACUCUUUCUGUCUGUCUGCUUCUCCCUCCGUCUUUCUCUGUCUCGCAUUCUUUCAGUCUGUCUCUCUCACACUCUCUCCCUGUCUGUCUCUCAUUCUGCCUCUGUCUGUCUGUCACUCUUUCCAUCUGUCUCCCAGUCUUACAUGCUAGCUGGUGGUUUUGGACUGUCGGAGGAGCACCUGGAGGAAGCCCAUACGCUCCAUAGGGAAGAUGUACAAACACCUUACAGGGUACACUGGAUUGAACUCUAAGCUCUGAUGCCCCGCUACCACUAUGCUAUCGUGAUGCCCAAGGUCUGUUGGAGAUGAUAGGAAGUGAAGAUCAUGUCCAUGGUACACUGAGACGGACUGAAUCCAUGUUGUGAUACAAUGAGCAGCUUUUCAGCCACUGCAAGGAAGUUGUUGAAGAGGACCUUAGCAAUAACAUUGCACGUGGCAGACAGCAAAGAGACCCCUUUUGCAGCUCCCGUAAUUAGAGUUGUGCUUUUGUCAUGAAGCAUACGUAUUUUAGAGAAAGUGACUUUUUCUAGCUCUGGCUAGAAAAUUACAUUUGAUAUAAUUUUGUUGUUUGUACAUCUCUUCCUGAAUCACAACCUGAUUUUAUUGUAAAUACAUUUCUAAGGCUGGUUUCUGCAAGAAUCUCUUGCACUGCUCUCUACUUAAUAAAAUCAACCCAAUUAAGAUUUCUGAAAUCUGGUAA
Molecule: long non-coding RNA, 706 nt
Organism: Hypanus sabinus (Atlantic stingray)
Lineage: Eukaryota; Metazoa; Chordata; Chondrichthyes; Myliobatiformes; Dasyatidae
Exons: 3
Source: RefSeq, a predicted model, not a curated record